Molecule: ribosomal RNA, 480 nt
Filed under: uncultured bacterium
Lineage: Bacteria
Description: partial 16S ribosomal RNA
Rfam family: Bacterial small subunit ribosomal RNA
Source: RNAcentral
GACGAACGCUGGCGGCGUGCUUAACACAUGCAAGUCGAACGAUGAAGCAAAGAUUCGAAGCUUCGGCAGAAAUUCAUUUCGGAUUAGUGGCAGACGGGUGAGUAACGCGUGAGCAACCUACCUCUUACAAAGGGAUAGCCUCGGGAAACCGGGAUUAAUUCCGUAUAACAUUUGGACAGAGCAUUUCGAUGCAGUCAAAGCUACGGCGGCAAGAGUUGCGCGCGCGUCCCAUUACCCGGAUGGUGAGGUAGCGUCACGCCAUUGUGACGAUGGGUAACCGGAGUGAGAGGGGGAACAGUCACACUGGAACUGAGACACGGCCCAGACUCCUACGGGAGGCAGCAGAGGUGAAUAUUGCACAAUGGAGGGGAUUCUGAUGCAGCGACGCCGCGUGAGUGAUGAAGGAAUUCGUUUCGUAAAACUCUGUUCUAUGGGAAGAAAAGGACUGUACCAUAGGAGAAAGCUCCGGCUAAAUACGUG